Molecule: transfer RNA, 77 nt
Filed under: Prauserella rugosa
Lineage: Bacteria; Bacillati; Actinomycetota; Actinomycetes; Pseudonocardiales; Pseudonocardiaceae
Also listed under: 14 other names
Description: tRNA-Pro
Rfam family: tRNA
About the family: Transfer RNA (tRNA) molecules are approximately 80 nucleotides in length.
Source: RNAcentral
CGGGGUGUGGCGCAGCUUGGUAGCGUGCCUCGUUCGGGUCGAGGAGGUCGUGGGUUCAAAUCCCGCCACCCCGACGA